UACGUAGGGUGCAAGCGUUGUCCGGAAUUAUUGGGCGUAAAGAGCUCGUAGGCGGUUUGUCGCGUCUGCUGUGAAAACGCGAGGCUCAACCUCGCGCCUGCAGUGGGUACGGGCAGACUAGGGUGCGGUAGGGGAGAUUGGAAUUCCUGGUGUAGCGGUGGAAUGCGCAGAUAUCAGGAGGAACACCGAUGGCGAAGGCAGAUCUCUGGGCCGUAACUGACGCUGAGGAGCGAAAGCGUGGGGAGCGAACAGG
This 253-nucleotide ribosomal RNA is filed under the name uncultured bacterium. Its description in RNAcentral is "partial 16S ribosomal RNA". It matches the Rfam family "Bacterial small subunit ribosomal RNA", at positions 524 to 776 of the family's 1533-position model. The record is from RNAcentral.